RNAcentral lists this ribosomal RNA (216 nucleotides) under uncultured bacterium. RNAcentral describes it as "partial 16S ribosomal RNA". It matches the Rfam family "Bacterial small subunit ribosomal RNA", at positions 115 to 334 of the family's 1533-position model. The record is from RNAcentral.
GUAUGGAACUGGACUCGAUGGAGGGGGAUAACUACUGGAAACGGUAGCUAAUACCGCAUAACGUCGCAAGACCAAAGAGGGGGACCUUCGGGCCUCUUGCCAUCGGAUGUGCCCAGAUGGGAUUAGCUAGUAGGUGGGGUAACGGCUCACCUAGGCGACGAUCCCUAGCUGGUCUGAGAGGAUGACCAGCCACACUGGAACUGAGACACGGUCCAG